GAUGAACGCUGGCGGCGUGCCUAAUACAUGCAAGUCGAGCGAACAGACGAGGAGCUUGCUCCUCUGACGUUAGCGGCGGACGGGUGAGUAACACGUGGAUAACCUACCUAUAAGACUGGGAUAACUUCGGGAAACCGGAGCUAAUACCGGAUAAUAUAUUGAACCGCAUGGUUCAAUAGUGAAAGUCGGUUUUGCUGUCACUUAUAGAUGGAUCCGCGCCGCAUUAGCUAGUUGGUAAGGUAACGGCUUACCAAGGCAACGAUGCGUAGCCGACCUGAGAGGGUGAUCGGCCACACUGGAACUGAGACACGGUCCAGACUCCUACGGGAGGCAGCAGUAGGGAAUCUUCCGCAAUGGGCGAGAGCGUGACGGAGCAACGCCGCGUGAGUGAUGAAGGUCUUCGGAUCGUAAAACUCUGUUAUUAGGGAAGAACAAAUGUGUAAGUAACUAUGCACGUCUUGACGGUACCUAAUCAGAAAGCCACGGCUAACUACGUG
RNAcentral lists this ribosomal RNA (497 nucleotides) under uncultured bacterium. RNAcentral's name for it is "partial 16S ribosomal RNA". It matches the Rfam family "Bacterial small subunit ribosomal RNA", at positions 28 to 507 of the family's 1533-position model. The record is from RNAcentral.